This 422-nucleotide ribosomal RNA is filed under the name uncultured archaeon. RNAcentral's name for it is "partial 16S ribosomal RNA". It matches the Rfam family "Archaeal small subunit ribosomal RNA", at positions 323 to 746 of the family's 1478-position model. The record is from RNAcentral.
CUGCGGGGCGCACCAGGCGAGAAAACUUUGCAAUGUGCGAAAGCACGACAAGGUUAAUCCGAGUGGUUUGUGCUAAACGAACCUUUUGACAGUCCUAGAAACACUGUUGAAUAAGGGGUGGGCAAGUUCUGGUGUCAGCCGCCGCGGUAAAACCAGCACCUCAAGUGGUCAGGAUGAUUAUUGGGCCUAAAGCAUCCGUAGCCGGCUCUGUAAGUUUUCGGUUAAAUCUGUACGCUCAACGUACAGGCUGCCGGGAAUACUGCAGAGCUAGGGAGUGGGAGAGGUAGACGGUACUCGGUAGGAAGGGGUAAAAUCCUUUGAUCUAUUGAUGACCACCUGUGGCGAAGGCGGUCUACCAGAACACGUCCGACGGUGAGGGAUGAAAGCUGGGGGAGCAAACCGGAUUAGAUACCCUCGUAGUC